RNAcentral lists this transfer RNA (92 nucleotides) under Morus notabilis. It matches the Rfam family "tRNA". From Rfam's summary of the family: Transfer RNA (tRNA) molecules are approximately 80 nucleotides in length. Their secondary structure includes four short double-helical elements and three loops (D, anti-codon, and T loops). The record is from Rfam by way of RNAcentral. Lineage: Eukaryota; Viridiplantae; Streptophyta; Magnoliopsida; Rosales; Moraceae.
GGAGAGAUGGCCGAGUGGUUGAUAGUCCGGUCUUGAAAACUGGUAUAGUUCGAAACAAAGAACUAUCGAGGGUUCGAAUCCCUCUCUCUCCU